RNAcentral lists this ribosomal RNA (194 nucleotides) under uncultured bacterium. RNAcentral describes it as "partial 16S ribosomal RNA". It matches the Rfam family "Bacterial small subunit ribosomal RNA", at positions 338 to 524 of the family's 1533-position model. The record is from RNAcentral.
CCUACGGGGGGCAGCAGUGGGGAAUUUUGGACAAUGGGGGCAACCCUGAUCCAGCAAUGCCGCGUGCAGGAUGAAGGCCUUCGGGUUGUAAACUGCUUUUGUACGGAGCGAAAAGGCUUCCACUAAUACUGGAGGCUCAUGACGGUACCGUAAGAAUAAGCACCGGCUAACUACGUGCCAGCAGCCGCGGUAAU